UUAACCGAAAAGAAACCUUUGAAAAAAUACCCAACCAAAUUAAACAAAUAAACAAACAAGUAGUAAAAAGCAAAAUCAAUGUCGUGAGCUACAGAGCUGCAUCACGUGGCAAAACAUUGAUCGUUGAAAUUCGAAUAGGUUCAGCUGAUGAUAACUCACGAUGUUUAAUAACUAACAAUCUAAUGUAUCGAUUUUACAUUUUAAAACGGAGAUUUCGUAUGAUUGCCUACCAGGUAACUAUCCGCUAGAGAUCAAAUGAUGGAGAUGUAAGCAAUUAUAAGUGAAACGUAUGGAAUUCAACAACAAGAAAAUGCGUACCGCAUGGAAAAUUUUAAAGGAUAUCGACAUAACAAAUAGAAAACCCACGUCUUGAUGUACAUAUGACUGAAGUAAGAUGCGCAAUCGACCUCGUUUACACAAAAAAAUCAAGUCGGGAGGUAAAAAAGCUUUAGCAUUUCAAAAAUUCAAAAUUUUAUAGAAAUAAGCUCGAUGACGAAUAUUUAUUAUAUUAUCCCUAUGUAUACUUCUAAUGUAAUGUAACGAUAAGUGCAACUUAGCAAAAUGCUUUUGUGCGGUUGAAUAAUUUGCAAAUUUUAUAAACGUUUUCAAAUAAUAAUGAUCUAGG
This 625-nucleotide long non-coding RNA is filed under the name Mytilus galloprovincialis (Mediterranean mussel). Lineage: Eukaryota; Metazoa; Mollusca; Bivalvia; Mytilida; Mytilidae. The record is from RNAcentral.